Molecule: transfer-messenger RNA, 361 nt
Filed under: Candidatus Giovannonibacteria bacterium RIFCSPHIGHO2_01_FULL_45_23
Lineage: Bacteria; Candidatus Giovannoniibacteriota
Also listed under: 2 other names
Rfam family: transfer-messenger RNA
About the family: Bacterial tmRNA, also known as 10Sa RNA or SsrA, is named for its dual tRNA and mRNA-like properties.
Source: RNAcentral
GGGGGUGAAUUGGAUUCGAGGAAGAAUAAAUUAUCAUGCGCUCAGGCAGAGUAUGUGAAGUAUGCUCUUGAAAUUUUCUUCACAAACCAAUAAGUGCAAACUUAUUUUCUAAAGUAGCGGCUGUUUUUGGCUCUUUACGGCCAAUGCAGCUUGCCACUUCUUACGCUUAAUUUAGUGUGAGCAUUGGUCCUUGAUUCUCGCUAGAGGGUUGCCAGUGUUAUAAGCGGGACGGCAUUGAUAAAAGCUCCGCAUCAAUGCAAGCAAACAGGGGUAAAAUUUUCCGCCAAAGGCGGAUAAAAAGCUUGUCAACCGCAGAUUAUGAGUUCUUCCGACCCGGGUUCAACUCCCGGCAUCUCCACAU